AUACGUAGGUGGCAAGCGUUGUCCGGAUUUACUGGGCGUAAAGGGUGCGUAGGUGGUUUCUUAAGUCAGAGGUGAAAGGCUACGGCUCAACCGUAGUAAGCCUUUGAAACUGGGAAACUUGAGUGCAGGAGAGGAGAGUGGAAUUCCUAGUGUAGCGGUGAAAUGCGUAGAGAUUAGGAAGAACACCAGUGGCGAAGGCGCUUCUCUGGACUGUAACUGACGCUGAGGCUCGAAAGCGU
RNAcentral lists this ribosomal RNA (239 nucleotides) under uncultured bacterium. RNAcentral's name for it is "partial 16S ribosomal RNA". It matches the Rfam family "Bacterial small subunit ribosomal RNA", at positions 523 to 762 of the family's 1533-position model. The record is from RNAcentral.